Mus musculus (house mouse) is the source of this 923-nucleotide long non-coding RNA. RefSeq annotates it as predicted gene, 32026. NCBI's taxonomy places the organism in Eukaryota, Metazoa, Chordata, Mammalia, Rodentia, Muridae. The record is from RefSeq and is a predicted model, not a curated record. The transcript is spliced from 4 exons.
AGGGUUUUGCCAUUCUCUCUCUCUUGCUCUCUUGCUCCUGAAGAUGGUAAGCAAUAAAGCUUUUGCCGCAGAAGAUUCUGGUUUGUUGCGUCUUUCCUGGCCGGUCGUGACCGCGUGUAAGAGAAAGAAGAAAUGACUUUAAUGCAGCCAGAAAUCUCAAAGGAGUCAGCAGAUCCCAGCGCCGCCUCCCUGCUCACAAGCACAGCAAUUAAACCCAGGACCUGGUGUACACUAUUGAGCAAGCCACUGAGCUGUCCUGCCCCGCCUUAGACCCCCAUCUCAGCCUCCCAGAUGCUGAGGAUACAGGGUCUACAAGCUGUUGAGUUUGGCUUGGCUGCAGUUACCUCUGGGCCUCACUGAAGAAGGACAGGCUUCAAAGCUCACCUAGUUCUUGCUCUCUGCUCUGCUAAACACAAAAUAUGACCUCUCAUUCCUGAAAGAAAUGGAAUUUGUUUUAUGAAAAUCAUUUGCUAAUGCUUAAAUCUAUCACAUCUUGGACAUUUCUAAAGCAAACUGAGGAAAAGGUCAGUGUGAAUCCUCUUACGAAUCAAAGUCCAAGAUGUUUACAUCCUACAAAGGCCAAUCUUUGGAUACACUGCUGAGGAGUUCCUGUCUGUUAGAACAGUGCUUUCUAGUUCUGCUAGAGACUCUCCUUGUCCUUUGGGAAGGGUGAAGCUUGGGACCAGAACUUGCUAUGUUGCCCAGAAUGGGCAAUCGUGACCCUCCUGCUUUAGCUUGCUGAGGGCUGGGAUUACAGACAAAUGGCUGCACACAUGGUAGGUGGGUGACAUUGAUCAUGUGUUUAUGGCUUACCCAAAUUUACAAAGCUAAUAAGGCUUUCACUUUUUUUUUAACCAGAUAACUUUGCCAAUCACCAUUAAUACACUGUUAUACAACAUAUACAAAAUAAAUCUAUAAAUGUA